ACUUUGGUAGUUUAAUGGAUCAGCAUAACAAAUCAGAUAUUUGUAGAUGCGGGUUCAAGUCCCGCCUAAGGUU
This 73-nucleotide transfer RNA is filed under the name Dictyocaulus viviparus (bovine lungworm). It matches the Rfam family "tRNA". From Rfam's summary of the family: Transfer RNA (tRNA) molecules are approximately 80 nucleotides in length. Their secondary structure includes four short double-helical elements and three loops (D, anti-codon, and T loops). The record is from Rfam by way of RNAcentral. Lineage: Eukaryota; Metazoa; Nematoda; Chromadorea; Rhabditida; Metastrongylidae.